ACCGUGACAGGUACUGCAUGGCUGUCGUCAGUUCGUGUCGUAAGAUGUUGGGUUAAGUCCCGUAACGAACGCAACCCCUGUCUUUAGUUGCCAGCAUUAAGUUGGGGACUCUAGAGAGACUGCCAAGGUGACAACUUGGAGGAAGGUGGGGAUGACGUCAAGUCCAUAUGGUCCUUACAUCCAGGGCGAGAAACGUGCUACAAUGGUUGGUACAAUGGGGAGCAAAAUCGCAAGAUUGAGCAAAUCCUCAAAACUAAUCUCAGUUCGGAUUGGAGUCUGCAACCCGACUCCANGAAGUUGGAAUCGCUAGUAAUCGCGGAUCAGCAUGCCGCGGUGAAUACGUAUCCGGGUCUUGUACACACCGCCCGUCAAGUCAACCGAGUUAUUC
Molecule: ribosomal RNA, 388 nt
Filed under: uncultured bacterium
Lineage: Bacteria
Description: bacterial SSU rRNA
Rfam family: Bacterial small subunit ribosomal RNA
Source: RNAcentral